RNAcentral lists this ribosomal RNA (254 nucleotides) under uncultured bacterium. Its description in RNAcentral is "partial 16S ribosomal RNA". It matches the Rfam family "Bacterial small subunit ribosomal RNA", at positions 524 to 776 of the family's 1533-position model. The record is from RNAcentral.
UACGUAGGGAGCAAGCGUUGUCCGGAUUUAUUGGGCGUAAAGAGCUCGUAGGCGGCUUGGCAAGUCGGAUGUUAAACCCCCAGGCUUAACCUGGGGCAGCCAUUCGAUACUGCCAUGGCUUGAGUUCGGUAGGGGAUUGUGGAAUUCCCGGUGUAGCGGUGAAAUGCGCAGAUAUCGGGAGGAACACCAAUGGCGAAGGCAGCAAUCUGGGCCGACACUGACGCUGAGGAGCGAAAGCGUGGGGAGCAAACAGG